AAUUCGAUUGAGUUUGAUCAUGGCUCAGAAUCAACGCUGGCGGCGUGCCUAACACAUGCAAGUCGAACGCGAAAGUGGAGCAAUCCAUCAGUAGAGUGGCAAACGGGUGAGUAACACGUGGGUGACCUGCCUUCGAGCGGGGGAUAACGUCCCGAAAGGGACGCUAAUACCGCAUAACAUCCUGCCUUUUAAGAGGUGGAGAUCAAAGCCGGGGAUCGCAAGACCUGGCACUUGAAGAGGGGCCCGCGCCUGAUUAGCUAGUUGGUGGGGUAAUGGCUCACCAAGGCAACGAUCAGUAUCCGGCCUGAGAGGGCGGACGGACACACUGGGACUGAGACACGGCCCAGACUCCUACGGGAGGCAGCAGUGGGGAAUUGUUCGCAAUGGGCGCAAGCCUGACGACGCAACGCCGCGUGGAGGAUGAAGACCUUCGGGUCGUAAACUCCUUUCGAUCGAGACGAAUGGUUUCCGGGUGAAUAAUCCGGAAAAGUGACGGUACCGAGAGAAGAAGCCCCGGCUAACUCCGUGCCAGCAGCCGCGGUAAUACGGGGGGGGCAAGCGUUGUUCGGAAUUACUGGGCGUAAAGGGCUCGUAGGUGGCCAACUAAGUCGGACGUGAAAUCCCUCAGCUUAACUGGGGAACUGCGUCCGAUACUGGAUGGCUUGAGUUUGGGAGAGGGA
Molecule: ribosomal RNA, 680 nt
Filed under: uncultured bacterium
Lineage: Bacteria
Description: bacterial SSU rRNA
Rfam family: Bacterial small subunit ribosomal RNA
Source: RNAcentral